CCUACGGGUUGCAGCAGUGGGGAAUCUUAGACAAUGGGGGCAACCCUGAUCUAGCCAUGCCGCGUGAGUGAUGAAGGCCUUAGGGUUGUAAAGCUCUUUCAGCUGGGAAGAUAAUGACGGUACCAGCAGAAGAAGCCCCGGCUAACUCCGUGCCAGCAGCCGCGGUAAUACGGAGGGGGCUAGCGUUGUUCGGAAUUACUGGGCGUAAAGCGCACGUAGGCGGACCAGAAAGUUGGAGGUGAAAUCCCAGGGCUCAACCUUGGAACUGCCUUCAAAACUAUUGGUCUGGAGUUCGAGAGAGGUGAGUGGAAUUCCGAGUGUAGAGGUGAAAUUCGUAGAUAUUCGGAGGAACACCAGUGGCGAAGGCGGCUUACUGGUCUGCAACUGACGCUGAGGCGCGAAAGCGUGGGGAGCAAACAGGAUUAGAUACCCCUGUAGUC
This 440-nucleotide ribosomal RNA is filed under the name uncultured bacterium. RNAcentral describes it as "bacterial SSU rRNA". It matches the Rfam family "Bacterial small subunit ribosomal RNA", at positions 338 to 795 of the family's 1533-position model. The record is from RNAcentral.